This 547-nucleotide small RNA is filed under the name Histoplasma capsulatum G186AR. Its description in RNAcentral is "hypothetical RNA". Lineage: Eukaryota; Fungi; Ascomycota; Eurotiomycetes; Onygenales; Ajellomycetaceae. The record is from RNAcentral.
CCCAGUUCGUUAGUAAAGAAAGGAUAGGGACUGAAUCGAUGAGGACAGCGCGCAUUUUCAGUCAACAUUAGGUAUGAAUCUUAUACUUCUCCAUUAUUUUGCCUCAUUUUGAAUCCUUCGUUUCGGUUCGGUAAAGAGAUGUCUAAUUCUCUUCCCGCCUUGGUAUAAUUAGUAUGGGUAAAAUUGGAGAGAAAAUUAAACAAGUUUUCUUGCACCAAUGUGAUGAUGGAUUUUCCAUGUGAAGAUUGCUAAUCUAAUUCGUCCCCAAAUUUCUUUAACCAUUGCUUUUGUGGGCUUGGAUAGGAAGGCUAAACCAAAUAGUAAGCAAGCAAUGGAUACGUACGGCGCUUAGCUUUGUUCCAUGCAUGAGCCGCUGCCAUUUUAGUAUGUAGUAAUACUAGAUUAUCCGACCGUCGCAUCACCGAGGAGGGAACCGGACGGACAUAGAUAGAUAGGCAAGCAAAAAUGACUGACAUGCCUAUCUAUAUAUAUGUAAUAUCGAGAGAGAAAUAGAGAGGGGGGGGGGAUGUGACCGAAAGAAGAAGAA